CCUACGGGUGGCUGCAGUGAGGAAUAUUGGUCAAUGGGCGCGAGCCUGAACCAGCCAAGUAGCGUGAAGGAUGACUGCCCUACGGGUUGUAAACUUCUUUUAUCAAGGAAUAAAGUGAGGCACGUGUGCCUUUUUGUAUGUACUUUAUGAAUAAGGAUCGGCUAACUCCGUGCCAGCAGCCGCGGUAAUACGGAGGAUCCGAGCGUUAUCCGGAUUUAUUGGGGUUAAAGGGAGCGUAGAUGGGUUGUUAAGUCAGUUGUGAAAGUUUGCGGCUCAACCGUAAAAUUGCAAUUGAUACUGGCAGCCUUGAGUGCAGGUGAGGUAGGCGGAAUGCGUGGUGUAGCGGUGAAAUGCUUAGAUAUCACGAAGAACUCCGAUUGCGAAGGCAGCUUAC
Molecule: ribosomal RNA, 394 nt
Filed under: uncultured bacterium
Lineage: Bacteria
Description: partial 16S ribosomal RNA
Rfam family: Bacterial small subunit ribosomal RNA
Source: RNAcentral